AACGCACAUUGCGCCCGCCAGUAUUCUGGCGGGCAUGCCUGUCCGAGCGUCAUUUCAACCCUCGAACCCCUCCGGGGGGUCGGCGUUGGGGACCUCGGGAGCCCCUAAGACGGGAUCCCGGCCCCGAAAUACAGUGGCGGUCUCGCCGCAGCCUCUCCUGCGCAGUAGUUUGCACAACUCGCACCGGGAGCGCGGCGCGUCCACGUCCGUAAAACACCCAACUUUCUGAAAUGUUGACCUCGGAUCAGGUAGGAAUACCCGCUGAACUUAA
Molecule: unclassified non-coding RNA, 271 nt
Filed under: uncultured fungus
Lineage: Eukaryota; Fungi
Description: partial contains 5.8S ribosomal RNA, internal transcribed spacer 2, and large subunit ribosomal RNA
Rfam family: 5.8S ribosomal RNA (bases 1-52)
Source: RNAcentral